This 253-nucleotide ribosomal RNA is filed under the name uncultured bacterium. Its description in RNAcentral is "partial 16S ribosomal RNA". It matches the Rfam family "Bacterial small subunit ribosomal RNA", at positions 524 to 776 of the family's 1533-position model. The record is from RNAcentral.
UACGGGGGGGGCGAGCGUUGUCCGGAUUUACUGGGCGUAAAGCGCGUGUAGGCGGCAGUUUAAGUCCGUGGUGAAAGGCGGGGGCUCAACCCCCGAGCGGCCGCGGAAACUGGACGGCUUGAGUGUCGGAGAGGGGAGUGGAAUUCUCGGUGUAGCGGUGAAAUGCGUAGAGAUCGAGAGGAACACCCGUGGCGAAGGCGGCUCCCUGGCCGAACACUGACGCUGAGACGCGAAAGCGCGGGGAGCGAACGGG